CCCACUUUGUGGGGGUAAGGCCCCCAGCUAGACGACUGGGUUGAUAGGCCGGAGAUGUAAGCUCGGUAACGGGUUGAGUUGACCGGUACUAAUAGGCCGAGGACUUGACUA
This 111-nucleotide ribosomal RNA is filed under the name Micromonospora carbonacea. RNAcentral's name for it is "23S rRNA. Bacterial LSU". It matches the Rfam family "Bacterial large subunit ribosomal RNA", at positions 2815 to 2925 of the family's 2925-position model. The record is from RNAcentral. Lineage: Bacteria; Bacillati; Actinomycetota; Actinomycetes; Micromonosporales; Micromonosporaceae.